Long non-coding RNA from Patella vulgata (common limpet), 1538 nucleotides. RefSeq lists it as uncharacterized. The record is from RefSeq and is a predicted model, not a curated record. NCBI's taxonomy places the organism in Eukaryota, Metazoa, Mollusca, Gastropoda, Patellidae. The transcript is spliced from 3 exons.
CUCGUCAUUAAUACACUAUACAUAGACUGUGUUUUUCCAAUGGGUAAUUUUUAUAGAACCCCCUUGAUCUAGUGUUAUACAGUUCUGUUUGUCUUUAGUAAGGUUCUAAGGGAACUCUAGUAGAAGAAAGUUGUCAUAGAAUAAUAAGAACAAGAAGAAUGGCCACCCCAUUAUCAACCGUUACCAACAAUACCUACAUGUAUAAUAUACAUGGUGAUUGUCAAGCUGUACAGAUUGGAACAUCAAACACAAUAAAUGAAACUGGUAACCAGACCGACAGUGAUGAUUGCACAUCCGAUAUGGAAGAUGUGAGAUUCCAGAUCAAUCGGAUAACUGAAGAGAUGGCUGAAAAAUUUGAAAGAAAAGAUGAAGAAAUAGCUGAAUUAAAAGACAGGGUGGCUGACCUGGAAGCAUUUAAGAAGAAAGUAGAACAAUCGGAAGUCAAGACAAACACCAACACUAAUACUAGACGUUAUGUCAGGGAUACGAGUAAUGAUAUUACUCUAAAGUUAUAUAAAGGAUAUAAAGAUAUGGGUACUAUAACUGUCAGUAAGAAAGUCAGUUUUAAUGAUUUAAUGAAGUUGAUAGAAGAGAAGGAGAAUAAGAAGAUUAGUGUGAUUGUUAUAAUAGGAUAUAGAGAUGGUAGUUCGAGAGAUAUCUACGACAGUGAUAGCAACAAGAACGACUAUAGCCUGGAACAACUUGGUGUUGUAGACCAGGACGAGGUUUGGUACUGGUGAUAGUAAAAUAUUGAGAUUAUAUUGAUAUGAUGUAUUGAUGGGCUCCUUUAUAUUGAACAAUGAGGUGUUUGGGGGGGGGGGGGGGUAGAUAUUACUUAUAGUAAAAUAUAAUGGUCGAACCAGAACGAGGUUAGGUAUUAUUAUCUUAUUGUCUCUUGAUUAGGUUGUGAGGGUGGAAUAAAGUAAAAUGUUAAAAUGUUAGAGUGGUGUAAUGUGGUGGGUGGGAGUGGUGUGUGUUGGGUGGUGUGUGUAGGGUGUGGUUAGUGCCGUAGGUGUUGGUGUUGUGUGUGAUGUGAUGGGUGGUAUACGUGGUUGGGUGGGUGCUAUGUUAGUGAUGAGUAUUACCAACCACAUCAGCACCCUAGUAUUUAACCAAGUAUCUUAUACCCCCCCCCCACCACCCCCAUGAUUGAUAUAUUGAAUCUUACUCUAAGUAAUAUCUUACCUGUCCCACCUGUUCCACCUGAUUGAUAUAUUGAAUCUUACUCUAAGUAAUAUCUUACCUGUCCCACCUGAUUGAUAUAUUGAAUCUUACUCUAAGUAAUAUCUUACCUGUCUCACCUGUCCCACCUGAUUGAUAUAUUGAAUCUUACUCUAAGUAAUAUCUAACAUCCUAAUAUAAAACUAGCUUACUACUGUAAAUAAAGCUGUAAUUCAAUAGUCACGAUUAUCAGGUGAUAUGUAGUCGUGAUCAUGUGAUAACUAACUGACAUAUAUAUAAUAUAUAAUUAUAUUAGUGAAACAAUGUUUUAUGCUUUUUAUUCUAAUUUUGUUUCAAUAAAAUAUUUUAUAACUAAA